Molecule: long non-coding RNA, 283 nt
Filed under: Gossypium raimondii (Peruvian cotton)
Lineage: Eukaryota; Viridiplantae; Streptophyta; Magnoliopsida; Malvales; Malvaceae
Description: long non-coding RNA (GRAI_LNC000325)
Source: RNAcentral
UUUUUAGUCAUCUUUAAACCAAAAUAUUUUCCAUCACCAAAGUGUUUUAACAUUAAUUUCAUAAAUAUUCCUUUUUACAGUCCCUGUGGGUACGAUAACUCGACAUUUACUUGUCACUUUUUUACUUGUUGGGAUUGUGUACACUUGCACAUUUUCGUCGUUCCAUGUUUUUGGCGCCAUUGCCGGGGACUGUUUUAAAAAAAGCCAUUAUUUGUGAAUCUGUUUUUACAUUUUGGUUUAUUUAUUUUCCUGUUUAAAUCUUUACUUAAACUUUCUGUGAUUA